Molecule: transfer RNA, 71 nt
Filed under: Meloidogyne incognita (southern root-knot nematode)
Lineage: Eukaryota; Metazoa; Nematoda; Chromadorea; Rhabditida; Meloidogynidae
Also listed under: 2 other names
Rfam family: tRNA
About the family: Transfer RNA (tRNA) molecules are approximately 80 nucleotides in length. Their secondary structure includes four short double-helical elements and three loops (D, anti-codon, and T loops).
Source: Rfam by way of RNAcentral
GGCGGCGUGGUGUACUGCUAACACAUCAGUCCGGUCUACUGAAGAUGCUGGUUCGAUCCCAGCCGCCGAUU